ACGGACAGCCAUACCACCCUGAACACGCCUGGUCUCAUCUGAUUUUGGAAGCUAAGCAGGGUCGGGCCUGGUUAGUACUUGGAUGGGAGAAAUACCAAAAUCACGAGUCUUCUUGGGAACUAAGUAUCUACUCUUA
Erinaceus europaeus (western European hedgehog) is the source of this 136-nucleotide ribosomal RNA. The record is from Ensembl. Lineage: Eukaryota; Metazoa; Chordata; Mammalia; Eulipotyphla; Erinaceidae.